GCAUAUCAUAAGCGGAGGAAAAGAAACCAACAGGGAUUGCCCUUAGUAACGGCGAAGUGAAGCGGCAACAGCUUCAAAUUUGAAAUCUGGCGCAAGCCCGAGUUGUAAUUUGGAGAGGAUGCUUCUGGGCAGCGGCCGUUCUAAGUUCCUUGGAACAGGACGUCAUAGAGGGUGAGAAUCCCGUAUGUGACCGGCGCGCACCCUCCACGUAGCUCCUUCGACGAGUCGAGUUGUUUGGGAAUGCAGCUCUAAAUGGGAGGUAAAUUUCUUCUAAAGCUAAAUACCGGCCAGAGACCGAUAGCGCACAAGUAGAGUGAUCGAAAGAUGAAAAGCACUUUGGAAAGAGAGUUAAAUAGCACGUGAAAUUGUUGAAAGGGAAGCGCUUGCAACCAGACUUGGCGGCGGUGUUCCGCCGGGCUUCUGCCCGGUCCACUCGCCGCCGCCAGGCCAACAUCAUCUGUGGCCGCCGGAGAAGACGCGGGGAAUGUGGCUCCCUCGGGAGUGUUAUAGCCCCGCUUGAUACGGCGCGCCGCGGGUGAGGUCCGCGCUUCGGCAAGGAUGUUGGCGUAAUGGUUGUCAGCGGCCCGUCUUGAAACACGGACCAAGGAGUCUAACAUCUAUGCGAGUGUUCGGGUGUCAAACCCUUGCGCGUAAUGAAAGUGAACGGAGGUGGGAACUUUUUGUGCACCAUCGACCGAUCCUGAUGUCCUCGGAUGGAUUUGAGUAAGAGCAUAGCUGUUGGGACCCGAAAGAUGGUGAACUAUGCCUGGAUAGGGUGAAGCCAGAGGAAACUCUGGUGGAGGCUCGCAGCGGUUUCUGACGUGCAAAUCGAUUCGUCAAAUUUGGGUAAUAAGGGGCGAAAAGACUAAUCGAACCAUCUAGUAGCUGGUUCCUGCCG
This 898-nucleotide ribosomal RNA is filed under the name Schizothyrium pomi. Its description in RNAcentral is "LSU rRNA". It matches the Rfam family "Eukaryotic large subunit ribosomal RNA", at positions 38 to 963 of the family's 3401-position model. The record is from RNAcentral. Lineage: Eukaryota; Fungi; Ascomycota; Dothideomycetes; Mycosphaerellales; Schizothyriaceae.